GAGCCUUAACCAAAGAAGCAGCCAGCUUGCUGGAAGCGGAAACCGUGUUAGGCUUAGUGGCGGACGGGUGAGUAACGCGUGGGUAACCUGGCCCAUACAGGGGGAUAACACUUAGAAAUAGGUGCUAAUACCGCAUAACAACAGAAAGCGCAUGCUUUUUGUUUGAAAACCAAGGUGGUAUGGGAUGGACCCGCGUCUGAUUAGCUGGUUGGCGGGGUAAAGGCCCACCAAGGCGACGAUCAGUAGCCGGCCUGAGAGGGUGGACGGCCACAUUGGGACUGAGACACGGCCCAAACUCCUACGGGGGGCAGCAGUGGGGAAUAUUGCACAAUGGGGGAAACCCUGAUGCAGCGACGCCGCGUGAGUGAAGAAGUAAUUCGUUAUGUAAAGCUCUAUCAGCAGGGAAGAAAAUGACGGUACCUGAGUAAGAAGCCCCGGCUAACUACGUGCCAGCAGCCGCGGUAAUACGUAGGGGCAAGCGUUAUCCGGAUUUACUGGGUGUAAAGGGAGCGUAGACGGCAGUGCAAGUCUGGAGUGAAAGGCGGGGGCUCAACCCCCGGACUGCUCUGGAAACUGUACGGCUGGAGUGCAGGAGAGGUAAGUGGAAUUCCUAGUGUAGCGGUGAAAUGCGUAGAUAUUAGGAGGAACA
This 649-nucleotide ribosomal RNA is filed under the name uncultured bacterium. Its description in RNAcentral is "bacterial SSU rRNA". It matches the Rfam family "Bacterial small subunit ribosomal RNA", at positions 44 to 708 of the family's 1533-position model. The record is from RNAcentral.